GGACCCCCAGGCAAGGGGGACUACCCGCUGAAUUUAARCCUAUYAAUAAACGGAAGAAAAAAAACUUACCAGGGUUCCCCUAAUAACCGCGAACGAACCCGGAACCGCCCAACUUGGAAAUUGGGCGGGUUUGCCCUCUGAAUUGGAAUCYGGRAAAACCUCAA
This is a ribosomal RNA of 164 nucleotides. It matches the Rfam family "Eukaryotic large subunit ribosomal RNA", at positions 1 to 164 of the family's 3401-position model.